GCCACCGGCUUCAUGGUGGCUAUUUUCUGAAGGUGGCAGGAGAAGAUAAAACCAAAAUUCAGGGUUUGCUUUUUAAAUACCAUGCUAGUAAAAUCAGAACAGUAAUGACGGGAACCAAAAGAUCUAUCUGAAAUGUUCCUAAGCACAGACUCGAGAAAUGUAGGGAACUCGAGAGCAGCCACUCGGCCCCAGGAUCAACCCAGCACCGAAGAAAAACAACCAGAAGAAAUUAUUCUUCAGCCUGAAAUGAAGCCGGGAUCAAAUGGUUGCUGAUCAGAGCCCAUAUUUAAAUUGGAAAAGUCAAAUUGAGCAUUAUUAAAUAAAGCUUGUUUAAUA
Molecule: long non-coding RNA, 336 nt
Filed under: Homo sapiens (human)
Lineage: Eukaryota; Metazoa; Chordata; Mammalia; Primates; Hominidae
Description: non-protein coding LINC01082:5
Source: RNAcentral